RNAcentral lists this ribosomal RNA (471 nucleotides) under uncultured bacterium. RNAcentral's name for it is "partial 16S ribosomal RNA". It matches the Rfam family "Bacterial small subunit ribosomal RNA", at positions 28 to 506 of the family's 1533-position model. The record is from RNAcentral.
GACGAACGCUGGCGGCGUGCUUAACACAUGCAAGUCGAACGCUGAAGCUUGGUGCUUGCACUGGGUGGAUGAGUGGCGAACGGGUGAGUAAUACGUGAGUAACCUGCCCUUGACUCUGGGAUAAGCCUGGGAAACUGGGUCUAAUACUGGAUACGACAUGUCACCGCAUGGUGGUGUGUGGAAAGGGUUUUACUGGUUUUGGAUGGGCUCACGGCCUAUCAGCUUGUUGGUGGGGUAAUGGCUCACCAAGGCGACGACGGGUAGCCGGCCUGAGAGGGUGACCGGCCACACUGGGACUGGGACACGGCCCAGACUCCUACGGGAGGCAGCAGUGGGGAAUAUUGCACAAUGGGCGGAAGCCUGAUGCAGCGACGCCGCGUGAGGGAUGACGGCCUUCGGGUUGUAAACCUCUUUCAGCACGGAAGAAGCGAAAGUGACGGUACGUGCAGAAGAAGCGCCGGCUAACUACGU